Long non-coding RNA from Monomorium pharaonis (pharaoh ant), 768 nucleotides. RefSeq lists it as uncharacterized. Lineage: Eukaryota; Metazoa; Arthropoda; Insecta; Hymenoptera; Formicidae. The record is from RefSeq and is a predicted model, not a curated record. The transcript has 2 exons.
GCGCGCGGUAGUGGGGGCAUAAGAGGCGGCGCGUUCGGGAAUCGGCUCGAAAAGGGCAACUAGGCUCAAGCACUGUUGUAGACUACGUUUUAGGUAGUAUUUAAAUUAGGAGUGAAAAAGUAGAAUGCGGAAAAGCGGAUAGAGCGUAGAAGCAAAAACUAGAGAGAGAUAGAUGAUAUUCUUUUUUUUUGUAGCUUUUCCUUCUGCUUUUCUUUAUUUUGUUCUUCUGCUUUUAAUAUGAAUGCUUCCUUACAUGUAAAGAUUUUUUUUAUUAAAAUCUUUUUUCAUUAUAAUUAUUUUUUUUUUAAUAGUUGUUGGACCACGACGAAAUAUUAGAUAUUGUCCCAGAAUAGCCAGGAAGUGAGCAUGAUAGCCGAAUAUUACAAAACUCACGCAUAUAUAUGCGGCACAGAGAAAAUAAAUUAAAUGGAAUGCUCAUUGGUGAUGCUGGGUGAACGAGUUACAACAUAAUUCAUACGAGGACAAGAGGAAUUGUCGAGAGAACUUUCGGCGUUUGGAAACGCAGAUUUCCGUGCUUAUCGAGAGGCCUGAGUACAAAGUUGUUAACUUCCACAACAAUUGUUGUAGCAUGUGCUGUUUUGCAUAAUCUAACAUUGAUUUUUAAUGAUAAUUUGGAAGAAGAUGAAGAAGAAGAAAAUAUAAAUGACGAAGUUCCAGUGCCUUAGCCUCACUGGCAACCUGGAGAUGGUUUUGUCAUACGAAAUGCAUUAAUUGAACGACUUUUUAGAUAGAAAAUAUGAAAAAAAA